UCCAGGAGGAAACAAAAUGAACGAAGUUCAUUUUCUAAAAAUGUUUCCGACGAAUAGCCGCCGACUGAAAGGCGGGGGCAAUACAUAUU
Eubacterium sp. CAG:156 is the source of this 89-nucleotide small RNA. It matches the Rfam family "GA-cis RNA". The record is from Rfam. NCBI's taxonomy places the organism in Bacteria, Bacillati, Bacillota, Clostridia, Eubacteriales, Eubacteriaceae.